CAUCACGUGACUAAAAACGACCAACCAACGACCUCGCUUCGGCCAUCUUGGCAUCUUCAUCUUGGCCACCUUGCUUUGCCGUGGGUGGAUCGUUGUUUCUAUUAUUUGUGCUUUUUAAGAAUAUUUUUUUAAUUCGGAUACUUUUAUAAUAGCUUUAAUAGUAUUAUUAACAUAGUGAAAAAAAUGGUGUCCUGUUUUUAACGCAGUUGGAGUAGCAGAAACAAAUGUAGAUAAAAAAAUCUGCAGGAAUAACGUUUCAAUUAUGACAGAAGCUCCAAACAAAUGACUGUGAAUGAAAAGCCCUAUUAAAAGCUUUCCAGAAGAUCCUGCGAAGAAGACAUGAAGUAUAGAUCAGAUUUGUUAAUAGAGGAGUAUGUUCAAAACACUUUUUAGAAAAAGAUAUUGACAGAACUUCACUUUCAUCUGUUCGUUUAAGAGACUGUGCUGUUCCAAUAGCUUAUGUCACACAGAAUCAGCUGAGAGAAGUGGUCUACAAAAAACCAGAAAGGAAACAGAAUAUGUGGCUACGAAAAGCAAAAGAAAGGUUUACAAAGCAAAUGUGACACAUUUUUUUAUAAUAUUUAGGAAUGUCAGUAAAUUACAUUAAAAAAUGUAUGUAAAGAUUUUUUGCAAUAAAAAUGUUUAUAUUUA
RNAcentral lists this long non-coding RNA (651 nucleotides) under Diabrotica virgifera virgifera (western corn rootworm). RNAcentral describes it as "uncharacterized LOC126883450". Lineage: Eukaryota; Metazoa; Arthropoda; Insecta; Coleoptera; Chrysomelidae. The record is from RNAcentral.